UACAGAGGUGGCAAGCGUUGUUCGGAAUUACUGGGCGUAAAGGGCGCGUAGGCGGUCUUGUAAGUCUUGUGUGAAAUCCCUCGGCUCAACUGAGGAACUGCACGGGAUACUGCGAGACUUGAGUUCGGGAGAGGGAAGCGGAAUUCCGGGUGUAGCGGUGAAAUGCGUAGAUAUCCGGAGGAACACCGGUGGCGAAGGCGGCUUCCUGGACCGAUUACUGACGCUGAGGCGCGAAAGCUAGGGGAGCAAACGGG
Molecule: ribosomal RNA, 254 nt
Filed under: uncultured bacterium
Lineage: Bacteria
Description: partial 16S ribosomal RNA
Rfam family: Bacterial small subunit ribosomal RNA
Source: RNAcentral